RNAcentral lists this ribosomal RNA (421 nucleotides) under uncultured bacterium. RNAcentral describes it as "bacterial SSU rRNA". It matches the Rfam family "Bacterial small subunit ribosomal RNA", at positions 355 to 775 of the family's 1533-position model. The record is from RNAcentral.
UGAGGAAUAUUGGUCAAUGGGCGGAAGCCUGAACCAGCCAUCCCGCGUGCAGGAAGACGGCCCUAUGGGUUGUAAACUGCUUUUCCAGGGGGAGAAACUUUCCGAUGAAUCGGGAUUUGACGGUACCCUGGGAAUAAGCAUCGGCUAACUCCGUGCCAGCAGCCGCGGUAAUACGGAGGAUGCGAGCGUUAUCCGGAUUUAUUGGGUAAAGGGUGCGUAGGCGGAUCGAUAAGUCAGUGGUGAAAACCUGCAGCUUAACUGUAGACUUGCCGUUGAUACUGUUGGGCUUGAGUAUGGUCAAGGUAGGCGGAAUGUGUAAUGUAGCGGUGAAAUGCUUAGAUAUUACACAGAACACCGAUUGCGAAGGCAGCUUACUGGACCAUCACUGACGCUGAUGCACGAAAGCGUGGGGAUCGAACAG